This 69-nucleotide transfer RNA is filed under the name Marmota marmota marmota (Alpine marmot). It matches the Rfam family "tRNA". From Rfam's summary of the family: Transfer RNA (tRNA) molecules are approximately 80 nucleotides in length. The record is from Rfam by way of RNAcentral. Lineage: Eukaryota; Metazoa; Chordata; Mammalia; Rodentia; Sciuridae. RNAcentral also lists the same sequence under 3 other names.
GGGGUUGUGGCUCAGUGGUAGAGCACUUGCCUAGCAUGUGUGAGGCUCUGGGUUUGAUUCUCAGCACCA